RNAcentral lists this ribosomal RNA (797 nucleotides) under uncultured bacterium. Its description in RNAcentral is "bacterial SSU rRNA". It matches the Rfam family "Bacterial small subunit ribosomal RNA", at positions 86 to 884 of the family's 1533-position model. The record is from RNAcentral.
UGCCGGCGACCGGCGCACGGGUGAGUAGCACGUAUGCAACCUGCCCGUCUCAGGGGGAUAAUCGUCGGAAACGGCGUCUAAUACCCCGUAUGAAGCUGGACGGCAUCGUCUGGUUUUGAAAGAAUAUCGGAGACGGAUGGGCAUGCGGCGCAUUAGCUGGUUGGCGGGGUAACGGCCCACCAAGGCGACGAUGCGUAGGGGUUCUGAGAGGAAGGUCCCCCACACUGGUACUGAGACACGGACCAGACUCCUACGGGAGGCAGCAGUGAGGAAUAUUGGUCAAUGGGCGAGAGCCUGAACCAGCCAAGUCGCGUGAGGGAGUACUGCCCUAUGGGUUGUAAACCUCUUUUGUCGGGGAGCAAAAGCCGGACGUGUCCGGCUGUGAGAGUACCCGAAGAAAAAGCAUCGGCUAACUCCGUGCCAGCAGCCGCGGUAAUACGGAGGAUGCGAGCGUUAUCCGGAUUUAUUGGGUUUAAAGGGUGCGCAGGCGGAUUUUUAAGUCAGCGGUCAAAUCGUGGGGCUCAACCCCAUCCAGCCGUUGAAACUGGGGAUCUAGAGUGUGCGAGAGGUAUGCGGAAUGCGUGGUGUAGCGGUGAAAUGCAUAGAUAUCACGCAGAACCCCGAUUGCGAAGGCAGCAUACCGGUGCACAACUGACGCUCAGGCACGAAAGCGUGGGUAUCGAACAGGAUUAGAUACCCUGGUAGUCCACGCAGUAAACGAUGAAUGCUACCUGUUUGGCCUGAUUGAAGGCUGAGCGGGACAGCGAAAGCGUUAAGCAUUCCACCUGGGGAGUACG